RNAcentral lists this long non-coding RNA (628 nucleotides) under Phascolarctos cinereus (koala). Its description in RNAcentral is "lncRNA (ENSPCIG00000006859.2)". Lineage: Eukaryota; Metazoa; Chordata; Mammalia; Diprotodontia; Phascolarctidae. The record is from RNAcentral.
GUUUCCAGCUAUAUUGGGUGCUUGAGAAGGUUGUGCAUGGGCACAUCCUUCUUGCCCUUCCUGCACCAGCUGCCACUGUUUACCAGUCUGUAGCAGCUGGGCGAUGGAGAGAUUGUCAAGGAUUCUUGACUGACAUGUUCCCCUGGCUGUGAUUCGGGGGCUAGCUUCCUCAGAAUCUCCAUUUGAAAUUGGCAGAAACGGUGUCGCUGAGGACUCCUCUCAUGUCCUGUCACAUUUCCAUGCGAACAAAUCUCAUCUCACUGACGACGCCUGUCAAGUUUCACUUCGUUGCAGAGAUUUUUCAGAAGUACCAUGUGAUCAGGAGAACAAGAUGCAUGGAGGAAGUAACGCAUAAUGCUUGUGAGAGGUGGAAAGGACCUUAAAGAUCAUGUGGCUCAAUUCUCAUUUGCAGAUGAGGAAAGUGAGACCCAAGGAAGGAAAGUGACCUGGUAUAUGGCAAAGACAAAAUUUUAACCCAGGUUUCUUACCUUUGAAUCCAUUGCUCUGUUAACCACCGCAGGAAGAGUAAAAAGAAGGGAGAAGAGUUGCAGGAAGAAGUUUUGCUCAUUUCAGCGUUGGUCAUCCUAUUCCAUACAUAUCAUUCUCAGUUAAGCAUAUAUAACUUCCA